CCAAUUAAUUUAACUUGGGAGUCAGAACAUGGGUGAUAAGGUCCGUGUUCGAAAGGGAAACAGCCCAGACCACCAGCUAAGGUCCCAAAAUAUAUGUUAAGUGGAAAAGGAUGUGGCGUUGCCCAGACAACUAGGAUGUUGGCUUAGAAGCAGCCAUCAUUUAAAGAGUGCGUAAUAGCUCACUAGUCGAGUGACACUGCGCCGAAAAUGUACCGGGGCUAAACAUAUUACCGAAGCUGUGGAUUGUCCUUUGGACAAUGGUAGGAGAGCGUUCUAAGGGCGUUGAAGCAUGAUCGUAAGGACAUGUGGAGCGCUUAGAAGUGAGAAUGCCGGUGUGAGUAGCGAAAGACGGGUGAGAAUCCCGUCCACCGAUUGACUAAGGUUUCCAGAGGAAGGCUCGUCCGCUCUGGGUUAGUCGGGUCCUAAGCUGAGGCCGACAGGCGUAGGCGAUGGAUAACAGGUUGAUAUUCCUGUACCACCUAUAAUCGUUUUAAUCGAUGGGGGGACGCAGUAGGAUAGGCGAAGCGUGCGAUUGGAUUGCACGUCUAAGCAGUAAGGCUGAGUAUUAGGCAAAUCCGGUACUCGUUAAGGCUGAGCUGUGAUGGGGAGAAGACAUUGUGUCUUCGAGUCGUUGAUUUCACACUGCCGAGAAAAGCCUCUAGAUAGAAAAUAGGUGCCCGUACCGCAAACCGACACAGGUAGUCAAGAUGAGAAUUCUAAGGUGAGCGAGCGAACUCUCGUUAAGGAACUCGGCAAAAUGACCCCGUAACUUCGGGAGAAGGGGUGCUCUUUAGGGUUAACGCCCAGAAGAGCCGCAGUGAAUAGGCCCAAGCGACUGUUUAUCAAAAACACAGGUCUCUGCUAAACCGUAAGGUGAUGUAUAGGGGCUGACGCCUGCCCGGUGCUGGAAGGUUAAGAGGAGUGGUUAGCUUCUGCGAAGCUACGAAUCGAAGCCCCAGUAAACGGCGGCCGUAACUAUAACGGUCCUAAGGUAGCGAAAUUCCUUGUCGGGUAAGUUCCGACCCGCACGAAAGGCGUAACGAUUUGGGCACUGUCUCAACGAGAGACUCGGUGAAAUCAUAGUACCUGUGAAGAUGCAGGUUACCCGCGACAGGACGGAAAGACCCCGUGGAGCUUUACUGUAGCCUGAUAUUGAAAUUCGGCACAGCUUGUACAGGAUAGGUAGGAGCCUUUGAAACGUGAGCGCUAGCUUACGUGGAGGCGCUGGUGGGAUACUACCCUAGCUGUGUUGGUUUUCUAACCCGCACCACUUAUCGUGGUGGGAGACAGUGUCAGGCGGGCAGUUUGACUGGGGCGGUCGCCUCCUAAAAGGUAACGGAGGCGCUCAAAGGUUCCCUCAGAAUGGUUGGAAAUCAUUCAUAGAGUGUAAAGGCAUAAGGGAGCUUGACUGCGAGACCUACAAGUCGAGCAGGGUCGAAAGACGGACUUAGUGAUCCGGUGGUUCCGCAUGGAAGGGCCAUCGCUCAACGGAUAAAAGCUACCCCGGGGAUAACAGGCUUAUCUCCCCCAAGAGUUCACAUCGACGGGGAGGUUUGGCACCUCGAUGUCGGCUCAUCGCAUCCUGGGGCUGUAGUCGGUCCCAAGGGUUGGGCUGUUCGCCCAUUAAAGCGGUACGCGAGCUGGGUUCAGAACGUCGUGAGACAGUUCGGUCCCUAUCCGUCGUGGGCGUAGGAAAUUUGAGAGGAGCUGUCCUUAGUACGAGAGGACCGGGAUGGACAUACCUCUGGUGUACCAGUUGUCGUGCCAACGGCAUAGCUGGGUAGCUAUGUGUGGACGGGAUAAGUGCUGAAAGCAUCUAAGCAUGAAGCCCCCCUCAAGAUGAGAUUUCCCAACUUCGGUUAUAAGAUCCCUCAAAGAUGAUGAGGUUAAUAGGUUCGAGGUGGAAGCAUGGUGACAUGUGGAGCUGACGAAUACUAA
RNAcentral lists this ribosomal RNA (1938 nucleotides) under Staphylococcus aureus. Its description in RNAcentral is "partial 23S ribosomal RNA". It matches the Rfam family "Bacterial large subunit ribosomal RNA", at positions 963 to 2904 of the family's 2925-position model. Lineage: Bacteria; Bacillati; Bacillota; Bacilli; Caryophanales; Staphylococcaceae. The record is from RNAcentral.